UCCAGACUCCUACGGGAGGCAGCAGUGGGGAAUAUUGCACAAUGGGGGAAACCCUGAUGCAGCAACGCCGCGUGAGUGAAGAAGUAUUUCGGUAUGUAAAGCUCUAUCAGCAGGGAAGAGAAUGACGGUACCUGACUAAGAAGCCCCGGCUAACUACGUGCCAGCAGCCGCGGUAAUACGUAGGUGGCAAGCGUUGUCCGGAUUUACUGGGUGUAAAGGGCGUGCAGCCGGGCUGACAAGUCAGAUGUGAAAUCCCGCGGCUCAACCGCGGAACUGCAUUUGAAACUGUCAGUCUUGAGUACCGGAGAGGUCAUCGGAAUUCCUUGUGUAGCGGUGAAAUGCGUAGAUAUAAGGAAGAACACCAGUGGCGAAGGCGGCUUACUGGACUGUAACUGACGUUGAGGCUCGAAAGCGUGGGGAGCAAACAGGAUUAGAUACCCCAGUA
RNAcentral lists this ribosomal RNA (445 nucleotides) under uncultured bacterium. Its description in RNAcentral is "bacterial SSU rRNA". It matches the Rfam family "Bacterial small subunit ribosomal RNA", at positions 330 to 792 of the family's 1533-position model. The record is from RNAcentral.